UGGGAAUUUGGACAAUGGGGCAACCUGAUCCAGCAAUGCCGCGUGUGUGAAGAAGGCCUUCGGGUUGUAAAGCACUUUUGUCCGGAAAGAAAACGCCGUGGUUAAUACCCGUGGCGGAUGACGGUACCGGAAGAAUAAGCACCGGCUAACUACGUGCCAGCAGCCGCGGUAAUACGUAGGGUGCAAGCGUUAAUCGGAAUUACUGGGCGUAAAGCGUGCGCAGGCGGUCCGCUAAGACAGAUGUGAAAUCCCCGGGCUUAACCUGGGAACUGCAUUUGUGACUGGCGGGCUAGAGUAUGGCAGAGGGGGUAGAAUUCCACGUGUAGCAGUGAAAUGCGUAGAGAUGUGGAGGAAUACCGAUGGCGAAGGCAGCCCCCUGGGCCAAUACUGACGCUCAUGCACGAAAGCGUGGGGAGCAAACAGGAUUCAGAUACCCUGGUAUCCACGCCCUAAACGAUGUC
This 461-nucleotide ribosomal RNA is filed under the name uncultured bacterium. RNAcentral describes it as "partial 16S ribosomal RNA". It matches the Rfam family "Bacterial small subunit ribosomal RNA", at positions 357 to 813 of the family's 1533-position model. The record is from RNAcentral.